AUUGAACGCUGGCGGCAGGCCUAACACAUGCAAGUCGAGCGGUAACAGGGGAAGCUUGCUUCCCGCUGACGAGCGGCGGACGGGUGAGUAAUGUAUGGGGAUCUGCCCGAUAGAGGGGGAUAACCACUGGAAACGGUGGCUAAUACCGCAUAAUCUCUUAGGAGCAAAGCAGGGGAACUUCGGUCCUUGCGCUAUCGGAUGAACCCAUAUGGGAUUAGCUAGUAGGUGGGGUAAUGGCUCACCUAGGCGACGAUCCCUAGCUGGUCUGAGAGGAUGAUCAGCCACACUGGGACUGA
This 296-nucleotide ribosomal RNA is filed under the name uncultured bacterium. RNAcentral describes it as "partial 16S ribosomal RNA". It matches the Rfam family "Bacterial small subunit ribosomal RNA", at positions 30 to 322 of the family's 1533-position model. The record is from RNAcentral.